This 269-nucleotide unclassified non-coding RNA is filed under the name plant metagenome. RNAcentral's name for it is "partial contains small subunit ribosomal RNA and internal transcribed spacer 1". The record is from RNAcentral.
AAGUCGAUAACAAGGUUUCCAGUAGGUGAACCUGCGGAAGGAUCAUUACAAAUAAAGCUGGGUAGGAAGUGGGGGGUUCUCGAUCUGUAAAGUGGUAGAGCGAACAGUCCGGGCCGCCCUCCCCGAAACUGUCUCACAUGUCCCCCACAGCCUGAAGGCCGAAUUACAACCCUUGAUUAUCUACACUUGUUGCUUUGGGGUGCUCAGUGCCCCAGAGGACCCAACUCUCUUGCAUUUAGUGACGUCUGAGUACUAUGUAAUAUUUAAAG